AGAUUGACUCAUACAGUAGUAUAGUUUUUUAAUACAGAUUACCAUUUUGGAGUCUGCUCUGUAUGGAUGGUCUCUUAAUAAGAAUUUUCUUACAUGAAUCUGAUUCCAGUGUUCGAUCACUAUCUUUUAAUUGUUCCUUUUUUUUUCCCUCUGAAAAGUACCAUUUCCACCUCUAAGCAUUAUCCAAUUCAUCAUUUAGAAGCAACUGCUAUAAGUAAAACGGUUAACUGUCUGCUAACAGUUGCCUGUAGGGUUGCCUGUGCCAGAAUUUUACCCUUUACUUAAAACAGCAGAGAUGAACAAAAACUGAGUGCUACUGCAAGGAAAACAUGGAUUUCUAACGGCAUCUUUAUAAUCAACUGGCAAAAACAUAGAAAUUGCAUUGAAGUAAAUGCACUGUACUUCUUACAAAUAAUUGUGUGAUUUCCUUUGCAUGCUAUACUGCAGGAGAGGAGAUGGCAGUCCACGAUGAUAUUACAGAAGAUGCACCAAGUCAUACUGCUUUCAUGGAGACAGUGGAUUAACUGGAGUAUAGCUGACUGAGAGACUGAAGAAAAAUCAAAUACUUUCUGAUUCUCUGAAACCUGCAUUUUUCAACUGAAGACAGACUAAGUGAAUACUGUGAAAGACCCUAAUUCCUGAAAGACUUCUUUCCCCCCACAUUGUUCAACCAAGGUUUACUAGGAGGAGACCUGAGAAAAGAAUAGAAAAUCCUGAGCUGUAAGGAACGCAUGAGGAUCAUUGAGUGCAACUCCUGACUCCAUACAAGGCAAUCUAAGAGUUAAACCAUGUACCUAAAAGAUUAUUGUCUGAACACUUCUCGAACACUGACAGGCUUGGGGCCAUAUGACAACUUCCUGAGUGAGCCUGUUUCAGGGAAGAACUUUUUCCUAAUAUCCGAUCUGAACUUCCUCUGAGAGUAGCACCCAAAUGCCACAAGAGUGCCUGCUUGGCAUGUUGGGGCUGAAGAAACUUCUCUACCUACUCUCUCUUUCUCUGCAUUAGUGCAAGACAGAGGCAGUCACCUGCAUAAACUUUGCAAAGUAGACUUAUUUCUGGGACUGAUUUUUUUUUCUAUUUAAAUUUUUAGAGUUGUAUUU
Long non-coding RNA from Cygnus olor (mute swan), 1100 nucleotides. RefSeq lists it as uncharacterized. Lineage: Eukaryota; Metazoa; Chordata; Aves; Anseriformes; Anatidae. The record is from RefSeq and is a predicted model, not a curated record. The transcript is spliced from 3 exons.